UUAAAGUUCAAUUUUAUUCACUUUUACCCAUUUUUUAUUUUAUCCUACCGUGUACCCUCAUCCAUGUUAUUAUACCCUCACAAAAUACAAAAAAAAAUAAAUAACAAACUCCCUAACAAAUUCUAUCCUAUCCUAACCCCUACAUCUUAUCCUAACAACCUAUCCAAUCAAAAUAAACCACAUCACACCCUACCCCUACCCCACCUUAAUACCCCA
Molecule: long non-coding RNA, 216 nt
Filed under: Capsicum annuum
Lineage: Eukaryota; Viridiplantae; Streptophyta; Magnoliopsida; Solanales; Solanaceae
Description: long non-coding RNA (CANN_LNC021011)
Source: RNAcentral